UACGUAGGGUGCAAGCGUUGUCCGGAAUUAUUGGGCGUAAAGAGCUCGUAGGCGGUUUGUCGCGUCGAAUGUGAAAACCCGGGGCUCAACCCCGGGCCUGCAUUCGAUACGGGCAGACUAGAGUUCGGUAGGGGAGACUGGAAUUCCUGGUGUAGCGGUGAAAUGCGCAGAUAUCAGGAGGAACACCGGUGGCGAAGGCGGGUCUCUGGGCCGAUACUGACGCUGAGGAGCGAAAGCGUGGGGAGCAAACAGG
RNAcentral lists this ribosomal RNA (253 nucleotides) under uncultured bacterium. RNAcentral's name for it is "partial 16S ribosomal RNA". It matches the Rfam family "Bacterial small subunit ribosomal RNA", at positions 524 to 776 of the family's 1533-position model. The record is from RNAcentral.